GACGCGGUGUGUGCCAGCUACCCGAGUGAAAGGUUUUCGGGGGAUUAAUCCUGAUGGGGUCUGCGGCGGCCCUUGCCCAGCGCCUUCCACAUGUGGAGCGGGCCAGUGGUGCUAGUUCUGCCGCCAACUCUGGACGGUUGAGUUCAGGGCCACUUUUUACUCAGGCACGGAUGUGACAGAAAGAUGGAAAAGGGUCUUGGAAGAACCACAUGUGCCGUAUAACGAACGACCUUUUGGUCUGAGGAGGACCGUGUAUAUGACGGUGGUCCCAUAACAUGAUAACGGAGCUGGAAACUUCCUGUCCUCUGGUGAGGGCUUAGCUAAGGACAUUUCCUCUCCUGUAUUUGGAGAUACACGUACAGGUGGAUCUGAAGCAGUGCUGCCUUAGUCUCCUUGGACUCUCAGCUCCAUUUCCUCAGCUCAAGUAGUCCACUGGGCUCUACCUCAGUUCUGCCUCCUCUUGCUGUGGCCUAGAAAUUCUCUCUGGAUAUCAGAAAACAAAGGACAGUAAUCCCUGCCAAGAUGGGAUACAAACAAGGUGAGCCCCAUGAUUGCCCAAGCGUACUACCUGGAGUGUCUUCUUCUGUUUUUUUCUUUUUCUUUUUUUUCUUCAAGAUGGGAUCUUCCUGUGUUGCCCAGGCUGGAGUGCAGUGCCAUGAUCAUGGCUAAUUGCAGCCUUGAACUCCUGGCCUCAAAUGGUCCUCCCACCUCAGCCUCCCAUGUAGCUAGGUCUCCAAGCGCAUGCUACUGUGCCCAGCAUGGUAUCCAGUGUCUUGAAACCACCAUUGCAUGUAUUUUUGACGGGCUCCUUUGGUUGUUUCAGGUAGAAGGGUCAACCUGGUCCCUGUUACUCCAUCUUGUCUGUA
This is a long non-coding RNA of Homo sapiens (human), 866 nucleotides long. NCBI's taxonomy places the organism in Eukaryota, Metazoa, Chordata, Mammalia, Primates, Hominidae. The record is from Ensembl.